This is a long non-coding RNA of Syngnathoides biaculeatus (alligator pipefish), 8197 nucleotides long. RefSeq lists it as uncharacterized. NCBI's taxonomy places the organism in Eukaryota, Metazoa, Chordata, Actinopteri, Syngnathiformes, Syngnathidae. The record is from RefSeq and is a predicted model, not a curated record. The transcript has 4 exons.
UGAGAGUGUACCCCGCCUGUCGCCCGAAGAUAACAGGAAGAAACUCCAGCCUGCCCGAAACCCAAGUGAGGAUGAGCGCAGUGACCCUGCGCAGUAAAACCGCCAUUGAUACACUGCAAGUGAUCACAGAAAGUUGGAGAACACGUAGUCUUUUUCCACUGCAUGCUGUCUACUUGGUCUAUUGACUCUUUUUAAAUGUCAAACCCAGCACCCAAAAGGGCACUGCACCAAAGUGGAGAUUGUGGAAUCUCGGACUAGGAUACUGAAGGUGGCAAGCGAAUGGAGCGCUGCAGCCAAGCUGAGAUUGUGGACGACAGUGCUGGCAUUUCUAGCCAUGUAUCCUCAGAUGUACAGUACAGUGUAAACUCAAUUUAACGAGCCCAGUUUAAUGGAUCUAUGGGCUGUUUGGACAGUCAAUGUGUCCAAAAAUAGUUUCCACUUGUUACUUAAACCAGUGUUAGUUCCAGAAUUUGCCAAUGUUGCUUCGUGGCACAGUAUGGGCAGAGACUAGAACGCACAUAUUUCUGGGUCACGCAUGGUAAACAGGGUGCAGUUAUCUACCAUUUUAUCUACAUUCACAGUGCCGUGCCUAUGUUGAGGCCAUGUUGACAUUCACCAUUCAUUCAUUCAAGUUCUCCAGGCAAUGCAUUCAUAUGGCAGCCAUGAUGGCAUGAGUUAUUUCUAUUGUCGCAGAGAGCACAGCAUGGCAUGAUGGCAGUGUUUUUUUUUUUUUUUUUUUUUUUUACUCUAGAAGAUCUCUCUGGAGCCUUACUGCAGUCUGGGAGAUGUUACUUUUGGUAAAGUCACCAUCUUUUUGUCAAGCAUCAACUUGCCACUGCAAUAACUGAUCGUCAUCACCAGGCACACGGGCAUUCCAACUUUGGAUGAUAUUUAAAACUUUUCAAAUAUAUUCAAGCUCUUUUAAUAUGUUUAAUUACAACAACUUUCUUCAGUACUGAACAUUUUAGCCCAUUAAAAAAAGUACAAAAGAUUUAUGCACUGUACAGUAAUAUGACUGCAUUUUAUAUGAACCACAAAAGAGUGCUUCAAUAUAACCAAAAAUCGACUGUAACAGACCACCUCCCUGCGCUAUUACUCUGUUAAAUAAAGGUUACACAGUAUUGUCGAACAAUAUAAUAUACAAUGGCACUACAAAAAUUUAUACAACAGGAAACUGAGGGUAGCCAGAAAAUCGGUCACUACAUCAAACCCAAGACACUGGGGUACAAUGCAGUAGCAUCCACACUUCCACUGUAAUUUUUCUUCGAUCAUACACGCAGUAAAAUGUAAUAUCCAUCAAUCCAUUUUCUUUUACGCUUAUGCUCACGAAGAUCGCGAGGAGUGCUGGAACCUAACCCAGCUGUCAACGGGCAGCAGGCGGGGUACACCCUGAACUGGUUGCCAGUCAAUCGCAGGGCACAUCGAGACAAACAACCAAUCGCACUCACAAUCACACCUAGAGGCAAUUUAGAGUGUCCAAUUAAUGUUACAUGUUUUUGAGAUGUAGGAGGAAACCGGAGUGCCUGGAGAAAACCCACGCAGGCAUGGGGAGAACAUGCAAACUUCACACAGGCGGGGCCAGUAUUGAACCCGGGACCUCAGAAGUGUGAGGCCAACGUUUUACCAGCUGAUCCACCGUGCCGCCUAUAUUAUCUGUGCUGUACCUUAUCCCAGCUGACUUCAAGUGAUUUUGGGGUACGCCACUGACUGGUCGCCAGCCAAUCGCAGACCAGGUAACGUUGCCAGUGUAUUGCUGCAGCUCUUGUAUCUGGUUUUAUUACAUUGUCCAGGUAUACUUAAUUUGACCAAUGAGUGUAUGCAGUGGGCCACAGCGAGCAACAUAUAAUUCAUUGUCACUAGUAAGUAUUUGUGUCUUGAGCAUAUGCUUCAUUCAAGCAGCCACAAUGAAAAGUAGUAUUUCUGCAACAAAUGCAUGACAUGCACGUUGAAAUAUUUGAUCACACUGUACGUGGUGCCUCGACCUCACAGCUCUUCUCCUGCUGAGUUUUAAGUGAAACCACGCUGCCCUGGUUGUGGCCCCCCGUAUUCCCACACAUCUGGAUGGCUUCAUCCACCCACCAACCCUCCCAGCCUCAUCCUCCUACACGCUCCUCAUCAUCAUCACCCACCAUUGUAAAUCUCCUCUAACUGUACUGGUAAUUACGCCACACAUGCUUACGCAACAAAGCGGUAGCCAAGCCCAAUGACAAACAGAGCGUUGCUAUAAAUUAAGACAUUUAUUGCUCUAAUUGCAGUCUCAUAAUGUCGGUCUCUAAUGGUGCAAAGAGGAAAAAAAUGGCCACAGUGCACUUUUCCUUUGUGGCAAACCUCGGUUAGGUUAGUCACCAGAUGAAGUGAUGGCUUCAAAGACAGAUCAAGCCGUAUUGUUAUAAUUAGCCAAAGCUCCACGUGCAGAAAACCAAAAUCGGUCAUCAGCCAAGAGGAAAGAAUGAUCAUAGGCUGAGUGGUGGUGCUGUAAAUCCUUAUCAAGUGUCAAGCACUUGCUCAAUUAUAUUCAAUUACAGCAUCCCGCAUAAAUCCUCUGCGUCACUCCCUUCCGAUACGAUGACGUACGCGUGGUGACAAUUUCCAGUGCUGAGCAUGCUUUUUCUUUUUUUCUUUCUUAGUCUAAUUUGUGACUCCAAUGUGUCGCAGCUUGUGGCGCAUCACGCAUAAGGCAUGCUUUAGGUCAUGACGCCAAAGCAAGUAGGCACUUGUCACGGGUUACACUGAUUUAAGAUCAAGAUUUUCGGACAGAUGUGGCUCUAAGCAAUGUUGACAUGUUUGUUUGGACGAUAGUUGGGCCAAGCUAAAAAAAAAUCAAUUUGAGGAGUUCCACAACAGAAAUAAAAGCCAAUCUCGUAGCUUCCAUUAAUUUAGUUUCUGUACCGCUCAUCCACACAGGAAGCCUAUCCCAGCUGAUUCUGGGCUAGGGCUAGAAUUCACACAUGAGCCAGUCGUCUCCCAACUGUGACGGUCACCUCGAAACGAUCGCUUGCGACAUCUUCGACAACAUUUACAAGCAAUCCCGUUUGUAAGAUGACUGCCGAUUUCACCUUGAAGCUACAUUCUGCUCGGAGUGCUCACAAUUAUAUAGGGAUGUUUGCUUUGGCCGCUAACAGCCAAUUAAAUAGAAUGUCAUGUUGUUAAAAUUUUGAGGACACAUCUAACGUUAACCUUUGGGCAAAAUGAAGGACCCUGGAUGCUAAUUAUUUCUAUCCACAAACUAACAACUGGUCUACAGUGUCAGCUGUUUUGGAAGCAAGUACACAAGUUAAAUGCCGUUCUAGUUAAACUUUGCAGGCUCAAAACAUUUUUCUGUAUUGCUUUGGACAGUGACUAUCUUCAAACUCUGCUAUGAUUUAAACCAUUUACUAUUUCACAACCUGUGUUGCAAAACUGAUUAAUAUACAAAAAUACUACAUUUUUAAAGCACAUUUAAUAUUUUUGUCCCCCCCCCCCAAGUGGUCCAAAACUACGGCUCUUAUUGUGUAAGUGUUGCCCUUUUUUUUUUUUCUUUUUUAUAUCUAAUGUAGAGUUUAGAGUCUUCAAUUAAUCAACCAUGCAUGUUUUUCGGAUAUGGGAGGAGACCAGAGUACCCGGAGAAAACCUGCACAGGCACGGGGAGAACAUGCAAACUUCACACAGAACAGAUGUCAGAUUUGAACACGGGUCCUCAAAACUGUGAGGCAGCUAUGCUAAUCUGUCUGUAUUACUGUGCCACCAUCCUAAUGGUUUUCAUGAUGGCAACGGUUUGACCAAAAGGGGAUUUUUUUUUUCUAAAAGUUCAACCCUUUAAGGUUCCACUCAUAUGAUAUGUAAUAUCCUAAAAAUAAUAAGUCAUGAGAAACUGACAAAUUAAGUCACUUAAUUCUCCAUUUGUGCAUUUUCUAAACCGCUUAUCCUCACCAGGGUAGUGUUUGAGCGAGAGGCGGUGUACACGGUGGACCAGUGGCAAGCCAAUCAUAGCAUACAUGGAGAUAAGCAUCGUUUUGUUUUGUUUUUUUUUUUAUUUUGGAGGAGGUUGGAGUGCUGUGGAAAAACCACGCAAGUAUGAGGAGAUCAUUCAAACUCCACACAGGAAGGCCGCAGCCCAGAUUCGAACCCAUAACCUCAGAAAUGUGAGGCAGCUGUGCUAACCAACGCUCUGCACUGUGCCACCAUCAUUUAAUUACAUUUUAUUGAUUUUGAUUUGGCCUUAUCUGCCUGCCUCCUGGCCUUUUUCUUCUUUCAUGGAGGCUGCUCGUGGCGUUGAAUGUGUAUAAUCAAAUGUUCCAGGGCCUUGACUUUAGGAGCCAAUUGACAGCAUGACAAGUGUUCCUUGGAGCAGCACAUCUGUCGAGGAUGUCAAUAGAUGUCUUUGAAAUGUACACUGCAGAAGGAGAAGAAAGGCCUUUAAAACGCUGACUGAAGAAAAGAUGGACCGGCGGGUUAUUGAAAACGACAGUCCGUAUGUAAAUCCGCUUCCCCGUGGGCUUCCACCCUUCGGCGAGGUAUCUCUAUACGGAACCACUUUAUUGCAGACCUUAUUGCAGACUCUUUAAUGUCCUCGCAACAGCUGGAGUGGAGAUAAAGAACGAGGAAGCGGUACAGUGCCAGCUGUUGGAAUUAUUAAUACAAAAAUUAACUACUGUGUGUGCGGGUUAAUUGCUUUCUGCUUAAUGUGCUUUCAAAAAGCCUUGAUUCCUCUUUUCUGUUACACAAAUGGCAUAUCAGGAGGCCUGUGAAAUUAAAGAUUCCAUUUAGAGAGAGCGCUCCAAAAGCAUUCCCCUCCGCCACCCUCCACCCUCGUUCUUCUCACGGCUCGGCGGCCAUAAUGGAGUCAUGUGUUGAAUCGCCGGAAUGGUCGCAUUAGGCAGCUGCCACCCCGCGGAUCAUCGAAGAAGUCUUUUUUAGCAGACAGAAGCGCCGUUCAUCCCUCAAGAGCUCAGGCAAAAUCAUUUCUGUGAGAUGUAUGCAUAUCAGGCCGCCAACGUCACACAUCCACGUUUAGCAGUUGAGUGACGACCACCCAUUUUGAUUAAGGCACCUCCCAUUCAGGGCCCGAUUAUGCUUUGGGUCACUUUGUUCAUUUACAAAUAGCAACUAGGGCUGAGGAAUUUUUUGUUGCACCCCAAAUUUAGCAACCCCCAAAACCAUCAUAAGAAGACCCACAAAAACUGAGAGGAUACGGGAAGUUAAAACGACCAUCUUAGGACCAUUAUGCCCAUUUCCAAAACAAGGCUUCUUGCAGAGAUUUUUGUAUGAUUGCCUCCACACUCGAACUACUGUAAUUACACUACAAAAGAUGGUCGAGGCUGAAUUCCAAAUAAUUUUUGUUUUGGGUUAUGUGUGUGGGCAAAGUUUGGUACUGAGCUUUGAUGGCUGACCAAAAGGUGACAGGAUGUGAGCCAAUUUGGUUUGAAGUAGCCAUUUUAGAGUCACCUUAGCUGUUUUAAAAAAUAAACUGAUCUUGGAGAUUUCUACCCAAAACACUAAGGACUUCCUUAGUCCCGCAAACCAAGCUGGGAGGAAGUAAAAAGCAUUUAAAGUGCAUGUUUUGUGAAUUAUUUCACGAUCAGUCAUUAUUUCAUUUGUUUUAUUAUUUGCUAGUUAUGCCACUCUGUUUGCUGUGGUGUGAUAAUUUUAGUUUCGAUGUGACACCGUGAGACAACACAACAUCGUCAGUAGUGACCUGCCGACAUGAGUAGUUCAUGGGGCAAUGUAAGCUUCUUCUUCUUACAGAUGUAAAACGCAUCCAUCAUUCCAUCAUAAUCCUCUCUGCCAUGUGAGCGCCAUCUUCCGGUAUCUUACAUACAUGCUAAAACAUGUGUUAGCAUAUAAGCUAACAGUGUAACCUGUGCGUUUAAGUGUGCACAAUGUCUUGGAGACCCAAAUCCGCAAAUAUGCGGGGCUACGAAGGGUGAACCGUGAAUCGGCAAGGGCACAAUGUAUACUAGACAGACUUUUAGUUUUUGUCAACAUGUUUGGGCAGAGCCUAGUAGUGAAGUUUGACGACUCAUGUGGAAGCCUAAUUCUAAGUUCCACAUAGCAACAUUAACUUUGUUAGGUAUGUCCGUCAAGAGUAAAACCACCAAAACGUCUCUUCAAAGUCAUCCUUGAAAAUUAAAUCUAUACACGUAUAUUUAGGGGGUUUUGAUAUUCUAGUGUUUUGCUACGAUCCACAUAUGCUGCAGUGAAACUGGACUAAUACAGGCUUUUCGAUUCUAUUCUACAAUACACUUGGAGUCAAUCACAUGGAAAGAGUUAAGGAAAGAACAGAGUAACAGCUCCUCUCGGACAUGCACAGGUCACGUCUCCACCACAUUUUAAUUUCACGUUGUAAAAAACACAUUAAUCAGAACCAGAUGACGUGGGAGGAAUUCUAAGAUGAUAUGUUUUUAUGCGAUAAUUUUAGGGCUAUUUAAGCAGGUCAAGUGUGAAAGCGCAGAGCUGGCUAGAUAAAGUCCCCAGUCAUCCUCUAGGUGGCUUCGUUGCACUGCAAUCGAGCGAUGUAUCAAUGACACAGGCUCCUCUUAGUUCACUAUCGGGCCACAUCUCCGACAACCUCCCAGAAAGCCAGCCUGGAUAAGAGCAUUGUUUGACACAUGAAAGUUCGGCGGGAGGGCUGCCACUCCGCUCAGCCGGGGCCAAAAAGACGAAGCACAAAGGACAAUUUGAUUCGCUUUCGGCACGUUUUGCCUUCAAACGUCAGAAAUAUCCCCCAUCAGUUGUCAAGGUGUGUCCUGCAGGAUUUGGGAAUUAGAUGAGAGCAAAGGCAAAUCAUUGAGGUAUUACAUAUUUGCUGACUCUUCAUCCUUUUCAUGUUCUUGCAUGGCAGUAAAACAUUGAAUUAGUUUUCUGUUACACUGACCACAGUUUCAAAGAACACCACAUUCUAAUACGAGCAGUGAAACUGAUAAGACAAAUAAUAUUACAGCCAGUCUGUCAGUCUCAUAAACUAUCUCCAGAACCUCCAUUAGAACUUGGAUGAACGAUUCCAGAUCGUGGUGGAUUCUGCCUUCCUAGCCUAGAGCAACUAAUAUCAUCCAUUCAUCCAUUUUCUGAGCUGCUUAUCCUCACGAGGUUUGCAGGAGCGCUGGACCGUAUCCCAGCUGUCUUUGGGAAGGAGGCGGGGUACACCCUGAACUGGUUGCCAGCUAAUCGCAGGGCACAUGAAGACAGACAACUGUUGCAAGCAGGGCAAAUUAGAUUGUCCAAUGAAUGCAUGUUUUUGGGAUGCGGGAGGAAACUGGAGUGCCCGGAGAAAACCGACGCAGGGACGGGGAGAACAUGCAAACUCCACACAGGCGGGGCCAGGAUUUACUACAUACUGCCUAUUUUGAGAGUUUUAUUCCAGUUAAGAAUGCUUGAAUGGUUACCAUACAUCAUUCAUUUUUAGGGUGAUGACACAAUUUCUUGUAAAAGUGAAUCCCCAUUAACCUCAGGGGUUCCAGACCUACUUAGAUUCUGUGAAAACCUGCGAUAUAGCGACCAUUAAAAAAUCUUAUUGAUGGUUUUACCUCGUUCCAACAAAUUUAAACUUAUUUAACCACAAGCAUUCACUAGCACCUGUACUGACUUUGGUUUUGGUUUUGGUUUUUUUUUUAACUCCCAGUUGAAGUCUACUUUUUCACACACAGGCAUCUUUUUUCCCGUAAUAAAUGAAAUCAUUUAAAAACACAUUUGUUUGAUUGUCCUAAACAUUAAAGUGGAGAAACUAUGCAAAAAUAUCCAAAUUUGAGAAGGUCACUAAUACUUUUCCACGGCGCUGUACGAAAGAUUGACCUUUUCAUACCAAGCGGUUAUUUUUUUACACUUUCAUGACAGCUAAGAAUAUUAUUUGAAAAAUCUACUGCACACUUAGUAAGUUUCAUUACAGUGAGAGUUCAACCAGAAUAGAGCCUCCAUUUCCUGAUUGAAAAAAUGGUUUCAAAAUGCAAACAAAUCAGUGAUUCAGCGUGAAAUGUUUCAAAUGAUGUGGUAACAAACAUGUGGAAUCCUAACCUUAUCGUACAGGCCACGAGUUCCAUAUGGAUCCCAUCCCCCAGGCCCUCCGCCUAUGCUUUGAUAUUGCAUGUGUCAUGAACAUGGAGUGUGUAUCGGUGCUCCGCCGGCGCCACCUGAAACUGUCAUUAAAGCGCAUGUCCUCAGGUGGAAAACGUGUGAGUAUGUGUGGCUUCCUCGACGAUAACACGACUUUGCUCUAAAAUACUUU